RNAcentral lists this unclassified non-coding RNA (332 nucleotides) under soil metagenome. RNAcentral describes it as "partial contains 5.8S ribosomal RNA, internal transcribed spacer 2, and large subunit ribosomal RNA". The stretch from base 1 to 120 matches the Rfam family "5.8S ribosomal RNA", at positions 35 to 154 of the family's 154-position model. The record is from RNAcentral.
GAUGAAGAACGUAGCGAAAUGCGAUAAGUAAUGUGAAUUGCAGAAUUCAGUGAAUCAUCGAAUCUUUGAACGCGCAUUGCGCCCGCUAGUAUUCUGGCGGGCAUGCCUGUUCGAGCGUCAUUUCAACCAUCAAGCCCUGUUUAGGAUUGUGUUGGGGCCCUGCGGCUGCCGCAGCCCCCUAAAUGCAGUGGCGGGCUCGUUGUCACUCCGAGCGCAGUAGCGUAUCUCGCUCUGGGCGUGGCGGCGGGUGCUAGCCGUGAAACACCCACUAAGGUUGACCUCGGAUCAGGUAGGAAUACCCGCUGAACUUAAGCAUAUCAAUAAGCGGAGGA